RNAcentral lists this ribosomal RNA (253 nucleotides) under uncultured bacterium. Its description in RNAcentral is "partial 16S ribosomal RNA". It matches the Rfam family "Bacterial small subunit ribosomal RNA", at positions 524 to 776 of the family's 1533-position model. The record is from RNAcentral.
UACGGGGGGGGCAAGCGUUGUUCGGAAUUACUGGGCGUAAAGCGCGCGUAGGCGGCUUUUCAAGUCGGGCGUGAAAGCCCCGGGCUUAACCUGGGAAUGGCCGUUGAAACUGGCGAACUGGAGUGUGGCAGAGGGGGGUGGAAUUCCGCGUGUAGCAGUGAAAUGCGUAGAGAUGCGGAGGAACACCGAUGGCGAAGGCAGCCCCCUGGGCUAACACUGACGCUCAGGCACGAAAGCGUGGGGAGCAAACAGG